RNAcentral lists this ribosomal RNA (497 nucleotides) under uncultured bacterium. RNAcentral's name for it is "partial 16S ribosomal RNA". It matches the Rfam family "Bacterial small subunit ribosomal RNA", at positions 28 to 507 of the family's 1533-position model. The record is from RNAcentral.
GAUGAACGCUGGCGGCGUGCCUAAUACAUGCAAGUCGAGCGAACGGACGAGAAGCUUUCUUCUCUGAUGUUAGCGGCGGACGGGUGAGUAACACGUGGAUAACCUAGCUAUAAGACUGGGAUAACUUCGGGAAACCGGAGCUAAUACCGGAUAAUAUUUUGAACCGCAUGGUUCAAAAGUUAAAGACGGUCUUGCUGUCACUUAUAGAUGGAUCCGGUCUGGAUUAGCUAGUUGGUAAGGUAACGGCUUACCAAGGCAACGAUGCAUAGCCGACCUGAGAGGAUGAUCGGCCACACUGGAACUGAGACACGGUCCAGACUCCUACGGGAGGCAGCAGUAGGGAAUCUUCCGCAAUGGGCGAAAGCCUGACGGAGCAACGCCGCGUGAGUGAUGAAGGUCUUCGGAUCGUAAAACUCUGUUAUUAGGGAAGAACAUAUGUGUAAGUAACUGUGCACAUCUUGACGGUACCUAAUCAGAAAGCCACGGCUAACUCCGUG